CGCAAGGAGGGCGCUUACCACGGCGGGGUUCGUGACUGGGGUGAAGUCGUAACAAGGUAGCCGUAUCGGAAGGUGCGGCUGGAUCACCUCCUUU
This 94-nucleotide ribosomal RNA is filed under the name Delftia tsuruhatensis. RNAcentral's name for it is "partial 16S ribosomal RNA". It matches the Rfam family "Bacterial small subunit ribosomal RNA", at positions 1440 to 1533 of the family's 1533-position model. The record is from RNAcentral. Lineage: Bacteria; Pseudomonadati; Pseudomonadota; Betaproteobacteria; Burkholderiales; Comamonadaceae.